CUGCUCACUUGAGUAGCACAUAUACUAAAAUUGGAACAAUACAGAGAAGGUUAGCAUGGCCCCUGCACAAAGAUGACACAUGCAUUUGCGAAGUGAUCCAUAUUUUU
Molecule: small nuclear RNA, 107 nt
Organism: Ailuropoda melanoleuca (giant panda)
Lineage: Eukaryota; Metazoa; Chordata; Mammalia; Carnivora; Ursidae
Source: Ensembl